UGUAGUAACAACUAGAACCGCAACCGGAUUUUAAAAGCCUAAGUAUUGUAUCCUUGUUGGAAGAUACAAAGACAAAGACUCAUACGAACUUCGGCUACACCAUCAAAGCUUUGAGAAGCAAGAAAAAGUUUGGUUAGUGUUUUGGAGUCGAAUAUGACUUGAUGUUAUGUGUAUGAUUGAGUAUAAGAACUUAAACCGUAAAUGGGUCUUAAAAGC
Molecule: small RNA, 216 nt
Filed under: Arabidopsis thaliana (thale cress)
Lineage: Eukaryota; Viridiplantae; Streptophyta; Magnoliopsida; Brassicales; Brassicaceae
Description: ATSL268240
Source: RNAcentral